GUGGGGAAUAUUGCGCAAUGGGGGCAACCCUGACGCAGCAACGCCGCGUGAUUGAAGAAGGCCUUCGGGUUGUAAAGAUCUUUAAUCAGGGACGAAUUUUGACGGUACCUGAAGAAUAAGCUCCGGCUAACUACGUGCCAGCAGCCGCGGUAAUACGUAGGGAGCAAGCGUUAUCCGGAUUUACUGGGUGUAAAGGGCGAGUAGGCGGGCUGGUAAGUUGGGAGUGAAAUCCCGGGGCUUAACCCCGGAACUGCUUUCAAAACUGCUGGUCUUGAGUGAUGGAGAGGCAGGCGGAAUUCCGUGUGUAGCGGUGAAAUGCGUAGAUAUACGGAGGAACACCAGUGGCGAAGGCGGCCUGCUGGACAUUAACUGACGCUGAGGAGCGAAAGCGUGGGGAGCAAACAGGAUUAGAAACCCUAGUAGUCC
Molecule: ribosomal RNA, 426 nt
Filed under: uncultured bacterium
Lineage: Bacteria
Description: bacterial SSU rRNA
Rfam family: Bacterial small subunit ribosomal RNA
Source: RNAcentral